GCCUACGGCCAUACCACCCUGAGAACGCCCGAUCUCGUCUGAUCUCGGAAGCUAAGCAGGGUCGGGCCCGGUUAGUACUUGGAUGGGAGACCGCCUGGGAAUACCGGGUGCUGUAGCUU
This 119-nucleotide ribosomal RNA is filed under the name Catharus ustulatus (Swainson's thrush). Lineage: Eukaryota; Metazoa; Chordata; Aves; Passeriformes; Turdidae. The record is from RNAcentral.